GUGAAUCAUCGAAUCUUUGAACGCAAAUUGCACUCUCUUCUGAGAGUAUGCCUGUUUGAGGGUCAGUAUUAACAAAAAAUCGGUGUGGUUGCAAAUUGUUACGUUUCCGGAGUUUGGGCUAUCUUAACUUUUUUGUUUAGAUGCUUAAAAUUUACCUUUUUUUCUCAUUUUUAGACGUACAUAAAUUUUUUUUUUAUUCGUUUAUUCUUAAUUCCAAAAUCUUAUUUGAUUCGAUCACAUCUUUUGGCUUCUUUCCCA
RNAcentral lists this unclassified non-coding RNA (258 nucleotides) under Glomeraceae sp. RNAcentral describes it as "partial contains 5.8S ribosomal RNA and internal transcribed spacer 2". The stretch from base 1 to 65 matches the Rfam family "5.8S ribosomal RNA", at positions 84 to 154 of the family's 154-position model. The record is from RNAcentral. Lineage: Eukaryota; Fungi; Glomeromycota; Glomeromycetes; Glomerales; Glomeraceae.